Long non-coding RNA from Dermacentor andersoni, 2050 nucleotides. RefSeq lists it as uncharacterized. The record is from RefSeq and is a predicted model, not a curated record. Lineage: Eukaryota; Metazoa; Arthropoda; Arachnida; Ixodida; Ixodidae.
AAUGUUAUGCAAGAAAACCACUGCAACCUUCAACAAGAGGGAAAGUCGAGGUCGAAAGCACUGAUAACAGAUGGCUAAGCAGGCAGAUAUGCAACAUGCAACGACUGUGCAGCACUUGAGAGCACACAAUUGAAGCCUGAUAAUUCUUCAUGCACUCGCUGCUCAAAGAUAAGCCAGCAGAGAUGAAUCACACAACUCGACAGCAGGGCAGUCAAAUGCUCUCGACACUGGAUCUGAGAUGAAGUCACUGACAGCAAAAAUGAAGACAUCUGUGCCACCUACGUCUAUUGGUUACCCCUAAGGAUACCCUAAGGUUACCCCUAUUGGUUACCCCUAAGGAGCGCAGCAAUACAAGACAGACUUGCGUUGCUCAAUUAGUCCAGAAAAAGCUUUUUAACAACUGCUACCAAAUCUUACGAUUACACAACUGCCAGCCAUGAAAUUUUAAAAGUACUACAGGGAAAUCAAAGAAAAAAUAACAUUUGGUAAAACGCACACGUAAUGUUCUGUCAGUGAAAAUAGUGGCUGUUUAUUAAAACACUGUUAACUUUGUUCGCUAAGGCUGCUGUGAACAAUGCUCUGAUCUAGAGCUGAAACUAGAAUGAUCCGCACCUCGAACAAACAAAAUGUUUAUGAGGCCUAUGCAUGAGACAUUUAAAACACUGGCCCAAAAGUUGGGUUGCCUUUAUACACUGGUUCAACGAGUGGUUAGUGCUGCAGUGGGUGGAUCCCAAUAAUCGAGCUCGUCUGAAAAAUGAGGCUCUGAGAAAUAGACUGCUCCAUGUUUAGUAUUCUUUAGAAAUCCCUUUUGCCCUAAACCGGACGCGAACGAGUUAAAAAAAUACGGGAAUCUUACGAAGAAACCUUAGAAAUUGGCAUGUGUGUUAUUAUGCAUUUUGGUACCAUGCAACAUCAUAUAAUGGCACCAAGUGCAAGGCAUCAUGACAAGGACAGCGAAGAGCAUCCAUUUCAGCUGCUGAUUUAACAGGAUGUCCCUGUCAGUUCAAAAGGUACCACCGAUGUGCCGACCAAUAUUGAAGCACAAGAAGUGUGAAUGAUGGCAGCAACCAAAUUUACAACUGAAGCUGUGAUGCUAUCUGGGACUAAACUCUUAAGGCAAAAAGCAGUGUUUUAAGUGCAUAAGAUAAAUGCCCCAAGGUGUAAACAACAUACAGUGUUGCCUGCAACAGGUUUUGUACAAAUAAACCUCAUCAGAAGGCUUCAUGACAAUGGCUAUCACUUUUCUCAACGAAACGAAAUAAACUAACAUAUCCAUGUUAAAUUGCAACUUCUUGCAGCUAAGGAGCACACAUGCUUCACAUCUUGAGAAGUGGGAAGGGUUUAAUACUAAAUAAUUAGAUAAUCAGCAAACUACAUCACAUCUUCUGUGCGUGUUCUGUCUUACAGUGGUUCCGAUAAGCUAGAAGUUGUUCACCACAGUACUGUGAAACCCCCUUGAUACGUUCCUUGCUGUUGCGUUUUCCUGGCUGGUGCUUCAUACUUUCGCGGUCUCAACCUAAAGCCCAUUGACUCUUAAUUUCCUGUUUGAUAUGUUGCGAUUCCGUGACAUUCCUGCAUCUUACGUUGUAUUUUAAUGUGGCAGUCACGUAAACACAGUGGUGCAGGGGCAAAUUCAGAAUUUCGAAAUGCUGAAAGCAUACAAUCGUCGGUCGCACAGAGCUGUUCCUGACGUUGCUCUGAUGAAUCGGGGCCUUGCUCACCAUUAUGUUUUCCUCGCUGUUACCAAUACUUUUUCCAGCGAUCCCUUGAAAAACAAGGUUCUACUGUGUAUACUCAGCACGCUAUUGGGGGAUGGCUAGAAAAGAGCACAAAUAACGCAACAUAAAGUGUUUGCUUUGCAACUAGACUUUACUUACAACUGCAAAAGCAGAAGUGAGAAUACACAUAAGCAAAAUCUAGAGUAAUUAUCGACACUGGGCAACAGCACUGUGUUUUAUGCCUUUCGUGUGCUUUUUCUGCAAGCCGAGUACCAUUCUUCUACAGUUAAAGUUGUGAUUGACAUGGACACAAUAAACUGACCAUCUUUUGA